AAUGUCAUCAAUGUCUUCUCUUUCGAAUCGGUGCAGUAGCAAAGAAUUGGAGUCAUGGAUUUCCAACCCAGAAAUGAGGAUGGUGAGCCUUCCUGGUUUAGUGUGGGACUCU
Molecule: microRNA precursor, 112 nt
Filed under: Ochotona princeps (American pika)
Lineage: Eukaryota; Metazoa; Chordata; Mammalia; Lagomorpha; Ochotonidae
Description: miRNA (ENSOPRG00000018411.1)
Source: RNAcentral